GACGAACGCUGGCGGCGUGCUUAACACAUGCAAGUCGAACGGAAAGGCCCUGCUUUUGUGGGGUGCUCGAGUGGCGAACGGGUGAGUAACACGUGAGUAACCUGCCCUUGACUUUGGGAUAACUUCAGGAAACUGGGGCUAAUACCGGAUAGGAGCUCCUGCUGCAUGGUGGGGGUUGGAAAGUUUCGGCGGUUGGGGAUGGACUCGCGGCUUAUCAGCUUGUUGGUGGGGUAGUGGCUUACCAAGGCUUUGACGGGUAGCCGGCCUGAGAGGGCGACCGGCCACAUUGGGACUGAGAUACGGCCCAGACUCCUACGGGAGGCAGCAGUGGGGAAUAUUGCACAAUGGGCGGAAGCCUGAUGCAACAACGCCGCGUGCGGGAUGACGGCCUUCGGGUUGUAAACCGCUUUCGCCUGUGACGAAGCGUGAGUGACGGUAAUGGGUAAAGAAGCACCAGCUAACUACGUG
This 468-nucleotide ribosomal RNA is filed under the name uncultured bacterium. RNAcentral's name for it is "partial 16S ribosomal RNA". It matches the Rfam family "Bacterial small subunit ribosomal RNA", at positions 28 to 507 of the family's 1533-position model. The record is from RNAcentral.